AACGGUCACAACAAACACAUAUUUGGUACCAUGGGGUCACCUCAAAAUAAAUCUGUACACGCGUCAGAUCAAUAUCACAAUUUACCAACUAUAUGUAACCAAUUCACCGAUCUAUGUUAUUUCUAAUUGUGAUCAAAUUUGCCUUUGAUGUGACUGUCUGUAAUCAUGGCAAUUUUAAUCGUGACCAAGUCUCAACUGGUCACAAUCAACAAAAAAUUAUUCACAAACAGUUACAACAAAUACAUACUUGAUCAUAAGGGAUCACCACAAACAAAUUUGCACACUCCUCAAACCAGUAUCACAAUCCACCACCAUUCAGCACCGCGACCAGCCCUAAUGCACCAAGAUUAACACCUUUAACUUAAAUCGGUGACCAUAAAUACUAAAUUCACCUCAAAUCCACAACAUCAAUCAUCACCACCGUAUUUUUCACCAACACCUUUAAAAAACACCAAUCAACACCACCGCAUUCUCAAAUGUAGAUCAACACAAACCGUACAUUUACAUUCCCGACAAAUUUGCACACCACAAUCACAGCCAUCAUCGGAGGAGAUUGAAACAACUCCGAUUGGAGCCAAAGCUUCACAUUUCGAUCCCAACUAGUUGCAGUGUUAGCACUACUUGCUCAAUCACUCCAAAUUCUCCCAUUUGAAUCCAAAAGUAACAAAAAAAUGCCCAAAUAAAUCUCCAUCAUCCCCACGCCAUUUAUUGAAGAAGAAACAGCUAAAGAAGCCUUCCGGAAUCAACGCUGAAAACCACAUACGACCGACGAAGACAUCAACACAUAAACACUCUACACACCGGUACAGAUCUAUACACCACCGCACAAACACCUCUACACGGUAAUGAAGUCGGCUGGAGCAUCGCUGCUGGAGGAGGUUGAACAACGAUGAAAAAUAGAGGAAGAUAGAGGAAUUGCUACACAACGGCGUCACGUCGGUCAGAGGGAUGGCGACAUCGUGUGUUGCCGACGGUGGAGACGGUAACACUGAUGGUGGUUUGUGAUAGAGAGAAGUGAGAGAGAAUACAGAGAGAGAAGGAAGAGGGGGG
This 1050-nucleotide long non-coding RNA is filed under the name Olea europaea subsp. europaea. The record is from RNAcentral. Lineage: Eukaryota; Viridiplantae; Streptophyta; Magnoliopsida; Lamiales; Oleaceae.